This 253-nucleotide ribosomal RNA is filed under the name uncultured bacterium. RNAcentral's name for it is "partial 16S ribosomal RNA". It matches the Rfam family "Bacterial small subunit ribosomal RNA", at positions 524 to 776 of the family's 1533-position model. The record is from RNAcentral.
UACGUAGGGUGCAAGCGUUGUCCGGAAUUAUUGGGCGUAAAGAGCUCGUAGGCGGUCUGUUGCGUCGGCUGUGAAAACCCGAGGCUCAACCUCGGGCCUGCAGCCGAUACGGGCAGACUAGAGUUCGGCAGGGGAGACUGGAAUUCCUGGUGUAGCGGUGAAAUGCGCAGAUAUCUGGAGGAAUACCGGUGGCGAAGGUGGCAUCCUGGACCGACAUUGACGCUGAGGAGCGAAAGCUAGGGGAGCAAACGGG